This 482-nucleotide ribosomal RNA is filed under the name uncultured bacterium. Its description in RNAcentral is "partial 16S ribosomal RNA". It matches the Rfam family "Bacterial small subunit ribosomal RNA", at positions 30 to 507 of the family's 1533-position model. The record is from RNAcentral.
AUUGAACGCUGGCGGCAUGCUUUACACAUGCAAGUCGAACGGUAACAGCACUUCGGUGGCUGACGAGUGGCGAACGGGUGAGUAAUACAUCGGAACGUGCCUAGUAGUGGGGGAUAACUACUCGAAAGAGUAGCUAAUACCGCAUGAGAUCUAAGGAUGAAAGCAGGGGACCUUCGGGCCUUGCGCUACUAGAGCGGCUGAUGGCAGAUUAGGUAGUUGGUGGGAUAAAAGCUUACCAAGCCGACGAUCUGUAGCUGGUCUGAGAGGACGACCAGCCACACUGGGACUGAGACACGGCCCAGACUCCUACGGGAGGCAGCAGUGGGGAAUUUUGGACAAUGGGCGCAAGCCUGAUCCAGCAAUGCCGCGUGCGGGAUGAAGGCCUUCGGGUUGUAAACUGCUUUUGUACGGAACGAAAAGCCCUCUUCUAAUACAGGAGGGUCAUGACGGUACCGUAAGAAUAAGCACCGGCUAACUACGUG